Long non-coding RNA from Salvelinus fontinalis (brook trout), 5052 nucleotides. RefSeq lists it as uncharacterized. The record is from RefSeq and is a predicted model, not a curated record. The transcript is spliced from 3 exons. Lineage: Eukaryota; Metazoa; Chordata; Actinopteri; Salmoniformes; Salmonidae.
CGCUCCACAGGCAUGUUGCCGGGUAGGAACACAUGACCUCCAGGGCUGUAUCCAACGACGCUCCACAGGCCUGUUGCCGGGUAGGAACACAUGACCUCCAGGGCUGUAUCCAACGACGCGCCACAGGCAUGUUGCCAGAAGACCUCUGCUAUUCUCUGCUGGUUUAAUAGCCGUGGAGGUGUCCUGUAGUUGCCAGGAUUGGUGUCACGUUGCAGAAGGAUGGGAUCCAGGCACAGUGUCACGUUGCAGAAGGAUGGGAUCCAGGACAGUGUCACGUUGCAGAAGGAUGGGAUCCAGGCACAGUGUCACGUUGCAGAAGGAUGGGAUCGAGGCACAGUGUCACGUUGCAGAAGGAUGGGAUCCAGGCACAGUGUCACGUUGCAGAAGGAUGGGAUCCAGGCACAGUGUCACGUUGCAGAAGGAUGGGAUCCAGGCACAGUGUCACGUUGCAGAAGGAUGGGAUCCAGGCACAGUGUCACGUUGCAGAAGGAUGGGAUCCAGGCACAGUGUCACGUUGCAGAAGGAUGGGAUCCAGGCACAGUGUCACGUUGCAGAAGGAUGGGAUCCAGGCACAGUGUCACGUUGCAGAAGGAUGGGAUCCAGGCACAGUGUCACGUUGCAGAAAGAUGGGAUCCAGGCACAGUGUCAAGUUGCAGAAGGAUGGGAUCCAGGCACAGCAAUAAGUAAUGGGGUUUUUUAAUUCACUACCCAAAACAAAAGAGCGAGGUGUAAACCUCUAAAUAAUUCAUGGGACGAGACCCGUAAUAACAAGUGCACAAAAAUACCCGUAGCACCAAAAACCGAAUAAAACAGAGCACAGGUACUCACAAGACCACCGGACAUAGGACAAUGAUCGACAAGAACAAUGGGGAACAUAUAUACACAUACUAUAGGGCACAUAUAUACACAUACUAAUCAGGGGGAAUGGGAACCAGGUGUGCGUAAUGAGACAGUACAGUCCGGGGUUGGUGGUGAUGAUCCAGUUCAGUGACUUCUAGAAGGCUGUUGACAUCGACCUCCCGAGCUGGUGAACGGAAUGAGCAGCAGUACCGGGGGAUCCCUGACAAUUGGAGGCAUUUCCAUUGCAGGCUACUUUGCACUCCGCCAUAUUUGUCACACACUGUAAUAAUUGUGAUAAAGGCUCAAUGACUCACACUGACUUACUGUAAGUCUUCCGAUACUCCGCAUUAAACACACCACUCUCUCAAACCAUAAACAGAAAUUGUCCAGUGGUUCAUCAGCUAACUGAAAUCUGCUUCAGAUGUGCAAUGAGACGUGCUUGAAAUAAUGUGGCCCUUUAAAAUAAACAGACUACAUUACCGGAGUAUCUGUAAAAUCAGUGGAAUUACUGGUUUUCUCAUCCAGUUUUUAAAUGUAAUAUUUGCAUCGUAGAGGAAGUAGUUUGUUGGCAUUAUACGUGAUUGGUUGGAUUUUCUUGUUUAAUUAAAAUUGAAAGGUUCAGCACAGUUGAAAAAAUAUAUGGCAAAUAGAAAUCCAAUAGGAAUAGAAUUCUACUAGAAUUCUCUUUAUACCGAAAGAGCGUCCAUCUGUGGAGCUGUGGAAUUCUGCUCUAUACCCAAAGAGCUUCCAUCUGUGGAGCUGUGGAAUUCUGCUCUAUACCCAAAGAGCUUCCAUCUGUGGAACGGUGGAAUUCUGAUGUAUUUAGUGGAUCUAUUCAACCAUCACUGCUCAUCUGAGGUAAAGAUCAUAUAGGGCAGGCAGUGAAUACAUUCUCCACACCUCUCCUUAUCCUUCCCUUCUUCCUGACACGACAUCUUCUUCUUUAUCCCCUAUCUUUAUGCAUUUCAUACCACUUCCAGAUCUAUGCUGGCUGGCUGGGCGCUUCAGUGAGUCACGUGGGCUGGCUGUCUCCCGUGCUGAUUCAGAGUGGGGUCUAACUCACGUCUCAAGAUGGAUUGGUCUCAUAAAGCGCAGAGGGACAUGAUCCCUGGAGGGCCGUGAAUAAGCUGUGCUUUGUUUUAUGACCACUCCACUUGAAGAGUUCAUUAGUAAAGAAGGCCCUGGAACGCUCAGUGAGACCCAACACUAUGCAACUGUUAUAUAAUUGAAAAUAGUGGGCUCAGAUUGCUCCCCCCCCCCUCUAAUAGCUUUCCUUGAAUCAGAUGGGAGGGGGAAGAAAAUGGCUAGAGGCUAAACUUGUAUAGAAUAGCUCAUCCACAAACCAAAGUGUACCUUACCCAGACAGCAAAAUGAUUAUGGACCAAAUCCGGCCCAUAUCUACAAUAGCCUAGUUUGGACUAGGUGAGGCCGGGCUACUUUUCAUUUGGCCUGAGAGGCUUGUAACUCUGUGCCUGAUUCAGGUGUUUCAACUGGCCAGGGCUUGAGGAGAACAUCACUGCAUACUCCACCCAACACCAGGAUCUAUCCCGCUGCACCCAUACACUUUCACCCAUGUUGUUCAUUUAGAAAUUGCAUGUGCAAAUCUCUCUCUGCUGAUCUUGGCUUCACACUUUUCUCAGCUUGGCCUGAUGAAGGACUGUAAGAGUUGGCUGGGCUAUUAGGCAGAUGUUUAAACAUAGAUUAAUGCGUGCACCAAUUACCAAUAAUUACCAUACCAAAGACUGUAUGAAUGGCAUCCGAUGCGCAUCUGCUUGGCACUCAGCAUUAAGGAGAUAGACUAUAGCAUUCUGUUCAGGGGGUGUCCGAGGCUAAUGAGGUACCUUUUCAGGUACUGAGAAAACAGUGAAAAGGGAAAGCCACUAGCACUCACUGGCUCACCUGGAGAUACAUGUAACUUGCAGUGGUGGAAAAAGUAUCCAAUUGUCACAUUUGAGUAAAAGUAAAGAUAGCUUAAUAGAAAAUGACUCAAGUAAAAGUGAAAGUCACCCAGUAAAAUACUACUAAAAGUAUUUGGUUUUAAAUAUACUUAGCUAUCAAAAGUAAAUGGAAUUGCUAAAAUAUAGUUAAGUAUCAAAAGUAAAAGUAUAAAUCAUUUAAAAUUCCUUAUAUUAAGCAAACCAGAUGGCGCCAUUUUCAUGUUGUUUUUUUAUUUACAGAAAGCCAGGUGCACGCUCCCACACUCACACAUCAUUUACAAACUAAGCAUGAGUGCGCCAGAUCAGAGGCAGUAGGGAUGACUAGGGAUUUUCUCUUGAUAAGUAUGUGAAUUAGACAAUUUUCCUGUCCUGCUAAACAUUCAAAAUGUAACGAGUACUUUUGGGUGUCAGGGAAAAUGCAUCGAGGUAAAAGUACAUUAUUGUCUUUAGGAAUGUGCUGAAAUAAAAGUAAAAGUUGACAAAAAUAUAAAUAAUAAAGUAAAGUACAGACACCCCAAAAACCGACUUAAGUAGUACUUUAAAAUAUUUUUACUUAAGUACUUUACACCGCUGGUGUUGUGGUGUUGGAAACCAGGCUAUUUACCACUUACCACCCAGCCCAGUUUCCACUUACGGUCCAGGUCUGGUUGCCAUUGGCCUAAUGCUUACAUUUCGACUAAAAGUGGCCCAGCAGUUACAUACCAAAAGCUAGAGCUGGCCCAUAAGAAAGGUUCCAGUGCAUCCUUUCACAGAGUGCAUCUUCCACAUUCGGACCAGAUCUGUCCCAUAUGAUGCAUUGCCGUACCAGCACUGAGUCCUCUGCCACCAAACAUCCAGAACAGGCCAGUAUUGUUGUCUGUUGUCUGGGUACCAUUAUAACACUUGUUGAAAUCUGAGAGGGCAGAUUCCUUUCUUCAAUUCAGAUAAAUGAAGAAUGUCACUAAGAAAAGCCAUUCACUCCAAUUAUCUCAUCUUCAGGAUUUAUUUAACUGGAAUAAUUGGCAUUUUAAUGUUCUGUGGCUGUCCCAUGUUAGACUUUAUCUCUACAGACCAGCUAUGUGGAUUUCUCUAUAGCCUAUUGUCAUUUUGUAAGUACUUUUGAUUCCCAAAAUAACUUUAAGUGAUGCAAAAUGAAAAAAUGAGCAUAUAGUGAAUAGAGAAAAUGCCUCCACUGGACAGGAACUAUGACAGAUGACAAUGUGCUCCAGCUGAAUCUAUCACUAAAACACCUGACAUCUGUUGUUGGUUGUUUCAUUUCACCUUUAUUUAACCAGGCAAGUCAGUUAAGAACAAAUUAUUAUUUUCAACGACGGCCUAGGAACAGUGGGUUAACUGCCUUGUUCAGGGGCAGAACAACAGAUUUGUACCUUGUCAGCUCAGUGGUUCGAUCUUGCAACCUUUCGGUUACUAGUCCAAAGCUCUAACCACUAGGCUACGCUGUCCCUAAAGAAAUUAUAUUAAACAAUGGUAGUAGGAGACACCAUAUUUCCAGUAGUACAAAAUGAACGUCUUCAGUAAGGGGUGAGAUGUGAGGCUGUCCUAAAAUGUACGCCAUAACCCUUUUAAAAUGAAUCACACUACUGCUCCUAGGCUACUUUUUGUCUUCCAAAAUAACACUCAUAGUGGCACCACUGGUGGGAUAAGAGCCAUGCUUCAAGGGAAGGAGGAUCCAACGCAGAAUCCACUCACAAGUGAUUUGAUUCAAAACACCUCCUGAACUGAAUCUGUUUGUUAUCCUGUUACUGUUACAUUUUCUGUGGGGGUUAUUUUUAUUGCCAAGGUUAUGUUGUAAGUGUUUCUUGAAUCUCCAUGAUAAAAAAAGCAUUGUGAACAGAAUCACCACUACUUAUGUUCUUAUUUAUACAUCCUCCCUGUAGUCCUCAUGUCCCCUAACCCCUAUAACCCUCCCCUAACCCCUAUGAUGGUCCUGGUCAGUCCCUGGAUGGGAGACGAGAUGCUGCUGGAAGUGGUGUUGGAGGGCCAGUAGGAGGCACUCUUUCCUCUGGUCUAAAAAUAUCCCAAUGCCCCAGGGCAGUGAUUGGGGACACUGCCCUGUGUAGGGUGCCGUCUUUCGGAUGGGACGCUAAACGGGUGUCCUGACUCUCUGAGGUCAUUAAAGAUCCCAUGGCACUUAUCGUAAGAGUAGGGGUGUUAACCCCGGUGUCCUGGCUAAAUUCCCAAUCUGGCCCUCAAACCAUCAUGGUCACCUAAUAAUCCCCAGUUUACAAUUGGCUCAUUCAUCCCCCUCCUCUCCCCUGUAACUAUUCCCCAGGUC